RNAcentral lists this long non-coding RNA (2234 nucleotides) under Eufriesea mexicana. Its description in RNAcentral is "uncharacterized LOC108551911". Lineage: Eukaryota; Metazoa; Arthropoda; Insecta; Hymenoptera; Apidae. The record is from RNAcentral.
ACUUUCACCGGCUACCCAAGUUUCUCGAUACUCACGAUACGUUCCAAAGGAUGCUACGAAUAUCACGCAUGAAUAUUUCAUGUAUCUUACAACCGGCAUCAUUCGAAACCUUUUAAUUUCUAACUACGUUUUUAUAUUCGUUCGUGUCCGAUACGAUUUAAAAACUCUCAUGUUCAAUCGUUUAUCGACCAUAAAAUCCUCGAAAAUCGAAAAGAUCCAUCUCGUUUUAAAACGCCGACAUGAGCUUUAAACCAGUACAUCAACACUGAAUUAAUAUCGAUUUUUAAGCAGUAGUUCAUCUUAAUUAUAAACAACUCCCCACUUCCAAAAAGUAUUCUUCUAAACUUACUUGAAAAGCAGUACUACCCAAUAAUUAAAAUAAUACUAUACUUUCGUUGCUAUAUCAAAAUAAGAAUAAGAAGAUCAAGAAUCUACAAUUAUACUAACAGCAAGUUACAGACCAUACGCAGCUAUUAAUCUAAUUUUAUGUAAAAACAACGUAACAACGUAAUGAGAUAGUAACAGAAUAGAACAGCAGAAAGACCAAAGAAACCGAUGAUAAACGGUGAAUGAAUGCUCCAAGAGUUCCUCGACAUUAUCAAAAUUUACAUUCUCGACGUUGCAGGAACAAAAUACUCAAGAUGCAUAUUAACCUCGCCAUUAACUGCGCAAGCACUCCGAGUUCUCCACGAAUCGUUAGCUUUAUCGACACAUAUGAGCUUUUCGCGGGCAAGGGCAAAGGAAAAAACAGAAAAAGAAAGAAAAAAAUAAAGCACGAAAAUAAAAAAAAAAGAGUGGAGCAGGAUAGUCCAGGCUGGUAUGGACUUUCGAAUGCACAGUGUGUUACGUCUUCCCGCAAGUCCAGCAGUUACUGUCACGCGCGCCCACGCGAUCUCGUGCAAAGGACGAUAAUAGCGCGUUUAAGUACGUAUAAAUUCCGUCGUAUAACUCGCGACUCCGUAGGGCGCUCGAGUGCGCCGUUAAUAACCCCGCCGUGGAAAACGACACAAGAAGCAAUGAAUUUUCAGAAGCAGAGGAGGCACGACCCCCUCUUCCUUCCUCUCCUUCUUUUCUCUUCUUCGGCCCACUACGUGGGUGGACGUCGCGGACGUGGCCGGUCUACGUUGGCUGAAUUCGAAGACAGGCCCGUAUCGGCCACGAGGCGGCCGAUCCGGUAUUGCUGGAUGGUCGAAUUCCGUGUAGGGGGACGAAGAUAUUUUUAAGAAAGCCACGGAGAAAGCAACGCGUAAACGUAACGGGGCGCCGUGGAAAUUUAUUCCACACGUUCGUUCGCCUUGCCCUGACAACGCGCGGAGGUAAUAAAGAAGUACAAGGGUCACCUUUGCCUAAUAAUCUUGAAAUUAAAACAUGGCGGCGGGUGGUAAGAGGUUGUUAAAACCGUUCGGUAGCGUGAUAGGGGUCAGGCGUAUUUCAUAACACGGAUAUAUUUCCCAUUUCACUUAUGAAUGAUUGCGCUACGUCAUCUGCCAUUCCCUCUCUGUUAAACGAAGAAACUGAAGCCUCGACUGAACUACUUAUUCGAGCAAGGCUGAACAUUAAACCGCGUAUGCACUGGCGCAGACUACACGUUACAUACAUGUGCAUUUAAAGAGGUUAUGUAGUUAUUAACCCUUUCUUAGAUAUCUAAGGUAACAUACAAAAAUGGAGCUAACCUCAACAACAGAUACAGGCGAAGCUAUAUUAAGGUUUCAGAAGAAGUGAAGAAGCUGACAGAAAAUAUAGAAUGAAAUCGACAGGUGAAACAAAAGAUUGAACAAGAGAAUUAAGUCGUCAUCGAGAGGUUUUUCAAUAGAAACCGCUGCCAGGAUCGGCACAUGGUAUAUACACGUGAAAGUUGGCCGUGGCUAGUCUACGAAGAGACACGGUACAAGGGGAUCAGCGAUCCGAGUCUCGGGGCAACGUGGCUCGUAGGCACGGCAAUGUUGACCAGCUCGCUCGCAAAUCGGGUACAAGGUAAAGGAUUCGUACGUGAGUGGCGUUCCAACGGCAUCAGGUUUUAUCGUGGAUCGUACCGCGGCUUCAUUAUUCGUUUCUGGCACGUACGGGCAUUCACACCCGUUCGAGCCACGAUCGGGCUUGCCAGCGGGUUUCUUUCCUUCGUCGAGAGCAGAACGAAGAAACAGAAUCCACGACGAUUCCGAGGCCCGAUCGUACGGCCCUCCCCUAUCCACGCUACUCGGAUGCAUAACGAGUAGUUCUCGCGUUCCUUGCCA